AGUCAAAGCUAAAUGCAGGGUUAAAAGUAGGAAAUAGAUAUGUAUAGCAGCAGAGUCACUAGAGCACAUCCUUGUGGUGCCGCUUUCUGUCACGAGAAUACGAGAAUACAUCUCUGCCUCACAGAUAUAUUUCAGACUGAUUUUAGCAUUGCAAAAAUGCGCGAUGUAAGGUUCUCUAUCCAACAAAAUGCAAAUUUACUAUCAAUUUAGAAAUGCAUUUUAUAUGAACAAAAAUAAGACGCUGAAAGGCGAAAAAUUGCACAACAGUGUAGCUUAGACUUUUGCGUGUACAAAGCAACAAUCUUGGUCGAGUGAAACUCGGAUUAAGGCCAUAUAUCUCAUGAUAGAUAAGGGCAAAUCGUAUAGUGGCCUAUUUUUGGUAUCCAAGUUUUGAUCGACUUUAUACACAUUUUUUAAAAAUUUCCUUUUUUCAACCGAAGUACCUAAAAUCACUCGUCAGUAUCUCCAAGACCAAACCCAUCAGCAAUGCUGAAUCAAUAGAUAACUGAACAACUUUGAAUGCUAGCUCACCUGUAUGUUUGUUUGCUUUACAACGUUUCUAAAUUCCUUUCUUUGCUAUCUCCAUAGUCUUAAGUGUGUUUAAAUUUCCACCUAGCAAGCACUUAACUCCUUUAGAUAAAAAUAUUUUUGGUAAACAACUAUUUAUUUAUAAGAAAACACAUUCCUUGCUAUUAACAAAAUUGUAUACCAACCGUAUCAAACAAGGGCAAAAUCAUUGCCAAAUAGACACUUCCAAAUAGACAUUUCGUAAUAAAAUCUCCAUAAUGAAUGUUAUAAACACAAUUAAAGGGCAUGUGUCGUUAACAUGAUUGGCUAAUGCAAUACAAUUAUCUCUUUUGUUUAGUAUAAAGCAUGGAAUCGAAGGUGAAUUUUUACGGCAGUAAAAAUUAAUUAAGAAGAAAUGAAAAGUCACGAAACAAUGGAUUUCCACUCCAAACGCUUUUGUUUUAUUAGCCAACUGCUAAUGCGACAUAUGCUCUUUAAUUGUUGAUAUGCAUAGUACUGAAAUCGAGUUUCAAGGAUGCACUGACAUAAACCAAUCACUGAAGUUUUUUAUUCACAAAAGGAAGUAGACUUUCAAUGUUUUCUUCCAUGCCUUUCUCUAUGAAAUCAUUUGUGGAAUAAUCUUCUUGCAUUUGUUGCCGAGUAGCAGCAGAUAGGUUUUUGAAAGGAAUGAACCCGAGCUAGAAUGGUUGCAGUAGUAUGUUAUGUUCUGGAUUGGAUCAUUGCCUGCAUAUGAUUAUGUAGUUUGAUAGCACAUACUGACAAUCUAGCAAGGAAAGCAAAUAUCUAUUUCCUCCUAUUUAGCUUUGACAAAGAUGAAAAAUUUUCAAAAAGUGUUGUGUUUGUACAGCUUCUUGUUUAAAAAGGCAAUUACCUUCAACAAUCAUGAAACCAGCCGUCAAUUUCUAACUAAAGGUGAAGAGUGACUUCCCCAUUCAAAGAAAGCUGUUACUUCAUUGUGACCUGUAUGAAAUGAAUUUGCGUUGAUAAAAAAGACCCUUAAACGAUAGUUUUUCAAAAAGGAUCUAGUUUUCACCGUUGUUAUGUCAAUUAAAACAAACAACGUAAAACAGAAUAAAUCUACUGUCCCUCUCACUGCAUGAAAAGGAAGAAAGCGAGCGAAGUCCUAAAUCAGUGUCACUUUUUAACUUUCAAGAAAAAACCUACUCAGUAUGCAAACAAAUUCCUUACAAAGCUCUGUCAAUAAGGGAUGACAAUAAAACGCCAAUCUAUGAGAUUACAAUUCGUCGAUUAUCCAUAAACUAGUAUCAGAAUAAUUAGAAUCUCUUAACUGCAAGGGGGAACAAACUCUAGAAAAUCUAUUAAAAAUACGUUGCCACUGAAAAGAAGCUCUUAAGCAUUUUUGGAAUAAAUGACGUUUGGAUUGUUGGGCGAAAACCACGAGGUUUAUUGAUAUUCGAUCCUCAAAAUGGAAGGAAAUUUCAACUCAACGGUAACAGUUACACAAAGAAGUAUCACUGCUUCUCCAAAUAACACUCAUAGUCCUUCUACGCUAACUAUUACAAACUUCACUGUCUGCAUUAACUGCACAGGUCGACCCAAGAACAUCAUGAUUGCUACCCAAGAAGGCUACGAUUACUUCAAUAUCAUCCUACUGCUAAUGCUUGCGUUGAUUUUCGUAAUCGGUACAGUUGGGAAUUCGGUCGUUUGCUAUGUCUUCGGCUUCAAACAACGCAAAAGAAGAUCUGUUCCUGAAACGUUGUUUCUUUAUUUAGGAGCAAUUGACCUUACUUCUUCCAUAAUCAACCCAUGCCUAUAUGUGUACUGGACAGUGACAAAGUAUUCAAGAUGGGACUUUGGCAUUGUAGGCUGCAAGCUUCUGGCACCUUUGGCACCAGUAUCAGUCACUCUCUCAGCUCUGAUUAUACUCAUUAUUGCAAUAGAUAGAUACACAAUUAUAUGUGGUCAAUUCGGUCGCAGCUACAGUCGAAAUAGAAUCCACUGCGCAGUACUAUUUGCCGCCGUCUUUUCGAUUUGCAUAUUCCUACCCUAUAUCAUCCUAUUGGAAGUUAGCAGCACGUGCAGUGUGCAAAAAACUGGUGCGCCUGAAUAUGCCUAUUCCAUGAUAUCUGCACUGCUUUUUCAGGACGUGAGUUUCAUUGCAGUCUUGGCAUUCACAAACUUAAGGACAUUUAGUCGCUUACGCCGUCGGAGCAGCCUUGCCAUGGAGCGCACUGUUGAAUCGAGGCGACUUCGAUCACACAAACGAGUUGCAAGGAUACUCUUGGCUAUGAGCCUGGUGUUUUGUUUGCUUGUGCUACCACGUGAUUUGGUGCAGCUUACUUACAUUAUAUCAUGGUUGGAUCCUCCAGGAGUAAGCUACACACAAGCACUGCUCCGCAUCAACGCCUUUCUAAAAGUCUUGCAAACGUCCAACAGUUGUGUCAACGUGUUCAUUUACUCCAAAAUGCAUACAAAAUUUCGAGUACACCUAUUCCGGCUAUAUUACAAGGCGUUUGGUCGGAGAGGUCUUUUUGCAGAAAAAUUUGGCGUGAAUGUGGUCAAUGAAGAAAUGACACCGAUGACUCGAAGAAGAAUCCUAAAGUUCAAUGAAGGAAUCGGGACACCUUCGGACACGCCGGUAUUACAGAGAAAGAAUGUCAAGCGAGAGAAGAUUCAGGACAGGGAAGGAGCCAAUCCACUUCUAGUAAACCACAUAAUAUCAAACAAGGCUCAAUUUCAAAGUGACGUGCAGACCUGUUCAUUGUAAGACUUUAUAGGCCAGGACAGCCUCUCUUUCAUCCUGUUUAAAAGCGAGUCCAGCCUCAAAGCCAUAAACUUAUUUUAAACAUAUUUUGAAGAAAUUUAAGAAAUAGAAAAUAACAAUUUACCAUGCUGGGCAUCGUCUAUCUUUAUCAUAUCUAUAAUUCUAGGGGCUCUGACAAUUGCUCAGUCAUUUUUUAUUGAGGACCGUGGUAGGAUACAUAAGAUUAUAAGAUGCUUGCUAUACCUUCGUAAAUAAAGUGAGGAAGAUAAGAUGAAGGGUCUCUUGUUAAGUCACCCUCACUAGGAAAUCCAUUGAAACCUUGAUUGGAAGCGUCUGCGUCUAUGCAUCAUAUUGCUAAUUCUGUUGUUGACAAUUGUUUUAUUUAACAUCGUUGUAUCAAAGGUUCUUGUACUUGCUAAAUGCAAUACCUCAAAGGUCAUCCGCAAGAUUCAUAUCACAGAAUGUGUGACUUCAUAAGACAUACUUAUCAGAUUUGCUAACGAAGCAUGUCUUAUUCUCUAUGGAAGUUGUCGUACAUCAUUCAUUCAGACUCAAUCGCCUGACCUUGUCGCAGAAAUCGAUACAAUUAGAAAAUUUCUUUAUCAUAUUAAUUAAAAGAAGCGGUAUGCUAUUAUGAAUUAUGAGAUUAUGUGAGAUUAUAUUAUUAAAUAUUUCUUUAGUCAAUUCAUGCUAGAGUUGUUCGUAAUCGCGUUUGUUAAUAUUUAUUCAUAACAAAGAUUAGAAUGACUACUGUAUGUACUCAUGAUCUUUUUCGUGACUCUUAGACCUUUGAUUUGUGCGUUAACAUUGUAGCAAGAAAUAAUUCCCUUGAAAGACUUACGUCAAACGUAUUGCUUAUCACAAUGGGGUUUCAGUCGAUUUUGGGUCACAUGUUUUCAAGCACUAGAAACAAACUUCAGUUUCACAUCCUUUGUCAGAUAUAAUUGGGUACAGCUGGUACACAACGUUUUUAGAAAAGCAUUACGUCAUAGUUAAUGCUUUGAGGACAAAUAUGGUUUGAUUACAGAUUGCACGUCACCAGAAACCACAAUAUUACAAGAACCAUUUGGCAGUUGAAUACCUCUUAAAGGAUUUCUGGAAACUCCUUUAUAUCGGUUAAAGGUAUUAUAUGAUAAGAGGUUUGCAGAAAAACGUCACCCUGACUCAUACCACCUGAAGUCAACUUAUAUGCUUGUUAUUUUCAACAUUAGACCUCAACUUUGUGUGAGUAAGUUUUCCACGUCACUAUGUCAGUAGAACCAAACAAAGAGAGAUUAAAUACUGAUGUUUACUUCGUCGAUUGUCUCUUUCAUGAACUAUUCUCUGUCAAAUUUUUAAAUGGCCUUUUUUAUAAACAGUUUCAAGCCCUUUCUUGCUUCCUGAUUAGCCCUCCUAUCUAUUUGAAGGAAAUAACAACUUUAAAAUUAUUUCUUGAAAAGUCUCACUAUUUUAAAGAAAAACAAUUGCCACUUGAUCUGAAAAGAUGCAUAAUUCACUCGUUAAUCAUUUUUUGCCACGUUAAUCAAAGUUAAAUUAAAUUGUGUUUUGUCCUAAUUCACUUUGGUAAAGGCAUUUUUUAUUACCUAGGAUGAAACGCUUGGUUUAUUGGACAUUCUUUUUUUUAUAUAAGUCUAGCCUUCACACUGUAACAAAAGUUUCUCAUUUGUUAAUAUACAAACGGGGCAAUUUUUGGCUUUAGUUGGCAAAGCAACCAAGCCUUCAAAGCUUUUUUAAGAGCAUUUCAGCUUUAAAAACUUAAGAAAUUAUUCUACUGGACAGUAUUUAACUUUAUGUAUUGAGUUAGAUCAUGAACGGUACAUUUCUAUUAUUUUCAGAAUACGGGACGUAGGCAAUAGAAUCAUUGCAAAGUAAUCUGCACUGGUGGCCAGCGUGAUCAUGAUGAUCAGCCAAAUAACUAGUACGGUGACAAGAAAGACAUCGUGAAAGGAGUAUUUCAAGUUCUAUUGACGUGAAUCCUUUUGAUAAAAUCCAUAAUAUUAACAUAUUAGCUAAGACAUGUAGUUUAGACAAAAAUUUCAGCGAAAUUACAGUAAUUUGACAUUCCGAUUGAGACAGUCAAUGUAUUUUAGACAAAAUUCACGAAAACUGUGUCUGAAGUUUAUUUUUAUAAACAGAUCAUAAGAGCAGUUUAAGGCAGUUCCUGCUUUGCAUAUAUGGCGCCACCUCUGGAUGUAAUCUGGGAAAUUAGUGGUUAUCGGGUUGAACUUAGACACUAAAAAAAGACAAAAUAACCAAAUUGAACGUAACACAACUUUUUUUACAACAAAAAUAAUUGUCAACAUCAUAUAUAAUAUCAACUAACGAACACAAAAUUUGCAAGCAAAUGUUUAUUUAUCAUACUGUAUGUUUUUACUUAACAAAGUCUUUAAUUGAAUCUUUAAUUGACUGUUUUCUUUUGUUGUUUACACGAAUAACUGGGCUAUAAAGAAGCUCGAAGCUGUAAAAAGCUAACUAGAUUGUCAAGUGUCAAAGUGUUUGAAAUAAAUAUUUGAACAAAUAUUCAUUUUUCUCAGUUUUUUGCUCGCUGGCUCCUAACUUUUUGUACUGUCCGCUAAUUGUAAAUAAAACAAACCAAAUUGACUAUUUUGCGUAAAAAAUGAUUUCCGAUAAUUAGUGUGUCCACUAAUUAAGUGUCCGCUUUUUAAAAAGUCUUUCAUGAGACUUUAACCAGAAAACAAUCGAUCAAAAAAUUUUUUCCGCUAAUCAGAGGUGUCCGCCUUUUAGAGUGUCCGUUAAUUGGAGAGAAUACUGUAGAUAAUUGCAUAUCCCCCGGUAAAUCCUUUCCUUAUCUUUAAGAUAUAGCUCCAAGUGACAGUGCUACUAUCACUGUCAAUCAUCCAAAGUUAAUGAUUUUAUUGCUUUCAGGCUUAUGCUCUAGCUUUAGCUUUAUACACAUUAAAGUUGUCUUUUCUCUAUCAGCUUGACAACAAUUUAGGAAAUCAAAAAUAUAAGACACACUUUUAAAGGUAUUAGAAUCUACGUAAGUAACAUAAUUCUUUUCCUCCUUCUAAAACUGAUUGUCUAAACGUAGGAAUGGCUCUGGUAUAGGUAAAAUAAUAUGAACACGACUUCAGGAAAACAAUAACUUUACAUUUUCUUGGACCAAAAAGGGCUUGACUUCUUUCAAUGCGAUAUUCCUGACAAAUAGUCAAUAUUUUGUGGAAACAUUAAAGCUUAUUCUAGCUGUAAAAGUCGCAAUAUUACGGUUUGGAAUUGAACACACCUUGCAUUUGACAGUAGCAGAUACUAACUCAAUCAACACAGCGGUCCAGUAGCAAAUCCUUUUCUUCUCCGUAACUUAAUAUAAUGUUAUGAGCCACUAACAUGACGUCCACAUGUCCAUAAUUUGAUAACUUUAGAUCUUAUCGCAGGAUGAAAAGAUAGAAAAUAAUUGGGUUGACCAAAGAGUUUGCAGCAUAAAGAGUCAACACACAGCAAAAUACGUGAUCAAAGGCACGCUCUUUGUAUUUAAGAAGGACCAUUAUGCUUCUGAUAAAUAUAGGAAAAAAGCAGACAAGCGUCUAGCGUAACUGGGCAGGAAAUAACCUCAUGAUCAGAAUGGUUUCUAAGAUACAACAAAAAUGGUAAACUAUGAAAUGGCCUGAAGGUGACACGAAGAAAUUAACAUAAGAGUCAUCAUUGCUAAGAAUGCCUUGUA
This is a non-coding RNA of Rhopilema esculentum, 6932 nucleotides long. The record is from RefSeq and is a predicted model, not a curated record. NCBI's taxonomy places the organism in Eukaryota, Metazoa, Cnidaria, Scyphozoa, Rhizostomeae, Rhizostomatidae.